UACGAAGGUGGCGAGCGUUACUCGGAAUUACUAGGCGUAAGGCGCAGGUAGGUGGUUGGGUAAGUCUGUCAUGAAAUCUCCUGGCUUAACUGGGAGGGGCUGAUGGAUACUGUCCGGCUCGAGUGUGGGAGAGGUAACUGGAAUUCCAGGUGUAGCGGUGAAAUGCGUAGAUAUCUGGAGGAACACCAAUGGCGAAAGCAGGUUACUGGCCCAAUACUGACACUGAGCUGCGAAAGCUAGGGGAGCAAACAGG
Molecule: ribosomal RNA, 253 nt
Filed under: uncultured bacterium
Lineage: Bacteria
Description: partial 16S ribosomal RNA
Rfam family: Bacterial small subunit ribosomal RNA
Source: RNAcentral